AUUGAACGCCGGCGGCAGGCUUAACACAUGCAAGUCGAGCGGGGUGAUGGUGCUUGCACUAUCACUUAGCGGCGGACGGGUGAGUAAUGCUUAGGAAUCUGCCUAUUAGUGGGGGACAACAUCUCGAAAGGGAUGCUAAUACCGCAUACGUCCUACGGGAGAAAGCAGGGGAUCACUUGUGACCUUGCGCUAAUAGAUGAGCCUAAGUCGAAUUAGCUAGUUGGUGGGGUAAAGGCCUACCAAGGCGACGAUCUGUAGCGGGUCUGAGAGGAUGAUCCGCCACACGGGGACUGAGACACGGCCCAGACUCCUACGGGAGGCAGCAGUGGGGAAUAUUGGACAAUGGGGGGAACCCUGAUCCAGCCAUGCCGCGUGUGUGAAGAAGGCCUUAUGGUUGUAAAGCACUUUAAGCGAGGAGGAGGCUCUUUUGGUUAAUACCCAAGAUGAGUGGACGUUACUCGCAGAAUAAGCACCGGCUAACUCUGUGCCAGCAGCCGCCGUAA
This 503-nucleotide ribosomal RNA is filed under the name uncultured bacterium. RNAcentral describes it as "partial 16S ribosomal RNA". It matches the Rfam family "Bacterial small subunit ribosomal RNA", at positions 30 to 523 of the family's 1533-position model. The record is from RNAcentral.